AGCGAACGCUGGCGGCAGGCUUAACACAUGCAAGUCGAGCGGGCAUAGCAAUAUGUCAGCGGCAGACGGGUGAGUAACGCGUGGGAACGUACCUUUUGGUUCGGAACAACACAGGGAAACUUGUGCUAAUACCGGAUAAGCCCUUACGGGGAAAGAUUUAUCGCCGAAAGAUCGGCCCGCGUCUGAUUAGCUAGUUGGUGAGGUAAUGGCUCACCAAGGCGACGAUCAGUAGCUGGGCUGAGAGGAUGAUCAGCCACAUUGGGACUGAGACACGGCCCAAACUCCUACGGGAGGCAGCAGUGGGGAAUAUUGGACAAUGGGCGCAAGCGUGAUCCAGCCAUGUCGCGUGAGUGAUGAAGGCCCUAGGGUUGUAAAGUUCUUUUUUGCGGGAAGAUAAUGACGGUACCCCCAAGAAUAAGCCCCGGGUUAACUUCUUGCCAGCAGCCGCGGUAAAUACGAAGGGGGGCUAGCGUUUCUCGGAAAUCCCUGGGGGGAAAGGGGGGCGAAGGGGGGGUCUUUUAAGCCAGGGGGGGAAAACCCGGGGGCCCAACUCCCGAACUGCCUUUUGUUACUGAAGAUCUUGAGUUCGGGAAGAGAGGAAGUGGAACUUCCAAGUUUAGAGGUGAAAUUCUUAGAUAUUCGCAAGAAACACCCAGUGGGCGAAGGGGGUUCUCUGGCCCCAAUACUGACGCUGAGGGCACAAAAGCGUGGGGAGCACACAGAUUUAGAUACCCUGGAGUCCAAGGGGCGAAUUCUCACAUUUGGCUGCAGCCCGGGGGACCCCUAAGUUCUAGAGGGGGCGCCCGCGGGGGCUCCAUUCAGCCCCUUGAGGGGGAAAUUUGGCGUGCUCUAUGUAAAGCAUUUUAAAACGUCGGGAUUGGGAAACCCCUGGCGUACCCAAAUUAAUCGCCUUUCAGCACUUCCCCUUUCGCCAGGUGGCUAAUAGCGAAGAGCCCCCCACCGAUUAAAUUUGGGCAUACUGUUUCCGGG
RNAcentral lists this ribosomal RNA (990 nucleotides) under Hoylesella nanceiensis. RNAcentral's name for it is "Prevotella nanceiensis partial 16S ribosomal RNA". The stretch from base 1 to 784 matches the Rfam family "Bacterial small subunit ribosomal RNA", at positions 28 to 873 of the family's 1533-position model. Lineage: Bacteria; Pseudomonadati; Bacteroidota; Bacteroidia; Bacteroidales; Prevotellaceae. The record is from RNAcentral.